This 468-nucleotide ribosomal RNA is filed under the name uncultured bacterium. RNAcentral's name for it is "partial 16S ribosomal RNA". It matches the Rfam family "Bacterial small subunit ribosomal RNA", at positions 28 to 507 of the family's 1533-position model. The record is from RNAcentral.
GACGAACGCUGGCGGCGUGCUUAACACAUGCAAGUCGAACGGAAAGGCCCUGCUUUUGUGGGGUGCUCGAGUGGCGAACGGGUGAGUAACACGUGAGUAACCUGCCCUUGACUUUGGGAUAACUUCAGGAAACUGGGGCUAAUACCGGAUAGGAGCUCCUGCUGCAUGGUGGGGGUUGGAAAGCUUCGGCGGUUGGGGAUGGACUCGCGGCUUAUCAGCUUGUUGGUGGGGGAGUGGCUGACCAAGGCUUUGACGGGUAGCCGGCCUGGGAGGGUGACCGGCCACAUUGGGACUGAGGUACGGCCCAGACUCCUACGGGAGGCAGCAGUGGGGAAUAUUGCACAAUGGGCGGAAGCCUGAUGCAACAACGCCGCGUGCGGGAUGACGGCCUUCGGGUUGUAAACCGCUUUCGCCUGUGACGAAGCGUGAGUGACGGUAAUGGGUAAAGAAGCACCGGCUAACUACGUC